CCCUAGUACCAGAGCCAAUAGGUCGCCAAGAUCAGAGAAUUUAGAAGACGAAUCGGUUAAAAAAACUCAGAGCAAUGGGUCACCAAAAUCAGAAGUUAGCAGGUUGAAGAUUAGUCUGCUGCGAAGGAGACUUGAAACCACUGAAAUUGCUGCCACACUUUGAUAUUGAAGUGAAAGGAUGAUGAUUUCUGCUAAAGAGAGUAAUGAUGCAGCUCAAGCUCCGUCAAUGCCAAAAAACAUAUGCAAGGAUCCUGAUGACGGACGCCAAAGGAUUUUGCUUGAAUUGGAGUUCGUUCAGUGUCUAGCUAAUCCAACCUAUAUUCAUUAUUUGGCUCAGAAUCGUUAUUUUGAAGAUGAAGCCUUCAUUGGUUACUUGAAAUACCUUCAAUACUGGCAGCAGCCCGAGUACAUAAAAUUUAUAAUGUACCCUCAUUGCCUUUUCUUUCUUGAACUUCUCCAAAAUGCAAAUUUCCAUAAUGCGAUGGCACAUCCAGGAAGCAAGGAAUUGGCACAUAGGCAGCAAUUCUUUUUCUGGAAAAACUACAGGAAUAAUCGGUUGAAACAUAUCUUACCUCGGCCUCUUCCUGAACCCACUGCAGCACCUCCAGCAUCAGUUCCACCUCCAGCGCCCGUCCCAGCUACAACUGUUGCUCCUGCUUCUGCUCCUGCAUCAGCCCUUUCUCCUAUGCAAUAAGCAUUGCCACCUGCCUCUGCUCUCCAAAAAAAUGAUAUGAGGAAUACUGGGGUUGACCGGAGAAUGAGAAAGAAAGAAGGUUGAAUUGGGUUCUUGACAUGCCUCUGUAUGGCAAAUGGUGCUUGUUACAAUCUAAAUUGAGGCUUCCUAUCGACGGGAAAUCGAAGUUAAAGGGGGUUUCUAAUGCUGUACACAUGCAGAGAGCAUGUUCAUAACAAAACCUGUGAAUCUCUUGAGAAUUGUAUUGGUUUACAUUGUCUGUAUGCAAGACCUUCUUGGCUUUCCAAUCCAGUUGUCUGUGAUUUGUGUUUUAGUUGACCAAAAAUUAUGGCUGUGCUUGUAUCAUCUGUUUUAUGAAGGCUAAUGUAUUACCUGAAAACUGGUUGUGGAAUUGCUUUAUUUGGGGUUAUGUGAAAGAACGUAUAUGUAAUACCAGUUAGCAUAAAAUAAAAUCAGCUUUUGA
Molecule: RNA transcript, 1157 nt
Organism: Telopea speciosissima
Lineage: Eukaryota; Viridiplantae; Streptophyta; Magnoliopsida; Proteales; Proteaceae
Gene name: mediator of RNA polymerase II transcription subunit 31-like
Exons: 7
Source: RefSeq, a predicted model, not a curated record